Molecule: transfer RNA, 55 nt
Filed under: Loxodonta africana (African savanna elephant)
Lineage: Eukaryota; Metazoa; Chordata; Mammalia; Proboscidea; Elephantidae
Rfam family: tRNA
About the family: Transfer RNA (tRNA) molecules are approximately 80 nucleotides in length.
Source: Rfam by way of RNAcentral
UGGCAGUGGGAAUGCGAUUGGCUGCUAACCAAAAGGUCAGUGGUUCAAACCCACU